AGUGAACGCUGGCGGUAGGCCUAACACAUGCAAGUCGGACGGCAGCACAGUAAGAGCUUGCUCUUACGGGUGGCGAGUGGCGGACGGGUGAGGAAUACAUCGGAAUCUACUUUUUCGUGGGGGAUAACGUAGGGAAACUUACGCUAAUACCGCAUACGACCUACGGGUGAAAGCAGGGGAUCUUCGGACCUUGCGCGAUUGAAUGAGCCGAUGUCGGAUUAGCUAGUUGGCGGGGUAAAGGCCCACCAAGGCGACGAUCCGUAGCUGGUCUGAGAGGAUGAUCAGCCACACUGGAACUGAGACACGGUCCAGACUCCUACGGGAGGCAGCAGUGGGGAACAUUGGACAAUGGGCGCAAGCCUGAUCCAGCCAUACCGCGUGGGUGAAGAAGGCCUUCGGGUUGUAAAGCCCUUUUGUUGGGAAAGAAAAGCAGCAGGUUAAUACCCCGCUGUUCUGACGGUACCCAAAGAAUAAGCACCGGCUAACUUCGUG
This 492-nucleotide ribosomal RNA is filed under the name uncultured bacterium. RNAcentral describes it as "partial 16S ribosomal RNA". It matches the Rfam family "Bacterial small subunit ribosomal RNA", at positions 29 to 507 of the family's 1533-position model. The record is from RNAcentral.